UGGGCCUUAAACCCCCCCUGAU
This 22-nucleotide transfer RNA is filed under the name Ischnocnema holti (Holt's robber frog). Its description in RNAcentral is "partial tRNA-Phe". Lineage: Eukaryota; Metazoa; Chordata; Amphibia; Anura; Brachycephalidae. The record is from RNAcentral.